GCCAGCAUAGCUCAGCUGGUAGAGCAGCUGAUUUGUAAUCAGCUGGUCGGGGGUUCGAGUCCCUCUGCUGGCUCCA
RNAcentral lists this transfer RNA (76 nucleotides) under Saprospiraceae bacterium. RNAcentral describes it as "tRNA-Thr". It matches the Rfam family "tRNA". Rfam says of the family: Transfer RNA (tRNA) molecules are approximately 80 nucleotides in length. Their secondary structure includes four short double-helical elements and three loops (D, anti-codon, and T loops). Lineage: Bacteria; Pseudomonadati; Bacteroidota; Saprospiria; Saprospirales; Saprospiraceae. The record is from RNAcentral.